Brachypodium distachyon (stiff brome) is the source of this 136-nucleotide non-coding RNA. The record is from Rfam. Lineage: Eukaryota; Viridiplantae; Streptophyta; Magnoliopsida; Poales; Poaceae.
UUCAUACUCCCUCUGUCCAACAAAAAAUAUCUCGAUUUUGACCAAAUUUGAAUGCAUCUAUACACUAAGUCAUGUGUAGAUACAUCCAAAUUUUGACAAACUUGAGACAUCUUUUGUUGGACGGAGGGAGUAAUAC